AGCGAACGCUGGCGGCAGGCUUAACACAUGCAAGUCGAACGGGCGUAGCAAUACGUCAGUGGCAGACGGGUGAGUAACGCGUGGGAACGUACCUUUUGGUUCGGAACAACCCAGGGAAACUUGGGCUAAUACCGGAUAAGCCCUUACGGGGAAGAUUUAUCGCCGAAAGAUCGGCCCGCGUCUGAUUAGCUAGUUGGUGAGGUAACGGCUCACCAAGGCGACGAUCAGUAGCUGGUCUGAGAGGAUGAUCAGCCACAUUGGGACUGAGACACGGCCCAAACUCCUACGGGAGGCAGCAGUGGGGAAUAUUGGACAAUGGGCGCAAGCCUGAUCCAGCCAUGCCGCGUGAGUGAUGAAGGCCCUAGGGUUGUAAAGCUC
This 378-nucleotide ribosomal RNA is filed under the name uncultured bacterium. Its description in RNAcentral is "bacterial SSU rRNA". It matches the Rfam family "Bacterial small subunit ribosomal RNA", at positions 29 to 433 of the family's 1533-position model. The record is from RNAcentral.